GUCUACAGCCAUGCUAGCCUGAACAAGCCCAAUCCUGUCUGAUCUUGGAAGCUAAGCAGGGUUGGGCCUGGUUAGUACUCAGAUGGGAGACCACCUAGGAAGUCCAGGUGUAAGUU
Molecule: ribosomal RNA, 116 nt
Filed under: Pteropus alecto (black flying fox)
Lineage: Eukaryota; Metazoa; Chordata; Mammalia; Chiroptera; Pteropodidae
Source: RNAcentral